Molecule: long non-coding RNA, 434 nt
Organism: Rhagoletis zephyria (snowberry fruit fly)
Lineage: Eukaryota; Metazoa; Arthropoda; Insecta; Diptera; Tephritidae
Source: RefSeq, a predicted model, not a curated record
CCACAGUUGAUCACCUACAAAAACACAACCCAUGCAACCACGUCUAACGUUCAAAGAGCACAUCUAUGAAAAGGUCAUAACGCUCGACUGUUUUAUUUUCUAGAUAUCCACCUAAAACGUAUAUGCAUCCAUUGUGUACGGCUACCUAAAAUGUGAAGUUUUAUGCAUACAUUAGGACAAAUCGACAUCUGAUUAUGCUUUUAUCGUAAGCGACAAAAGGUAAAUUUUACAGGAGAGGUUUUUUUAAUUAUCCUUAUUGAAUGAUAACUUUCUAAUGGGACUAUUUAUGUUUUGCAUACCUUAUUGGCGCUUGCGAUAGUUUUUAUGUUGUAUAAUUUGGAUAUUUAUAAACGAAGGAGUGCCGGUACUUUCAGGAUUUUUUGAAAAAACUGAAUUUUAAGUCAAUUAAAUAUAAACAUUGUCAAUCAGCAGAA